This is a long non-coding RNA of Mustela erminea (ermine), 6242 nucleotides long. RefSeq lists it as uncharacterized. The transcript is spliced from 4 exons. Lineage: Eukaryota; Metazoa; Chordata; Mammalia; Carnivora; Mustelidae. The record is from RefSeq and is a predicted model, not a curated record.
CAAGAAUCGGUUGCUUAACCAAUUGAGCCACUCAGGUGCCUCUCAGAACUGUUUUCUUAUCCAACAUGUCCCUUCUUAAAUGUCAUUCAGGGAAGAAGUGCUUAAGCAUCCAAUAUCUGAAGAUAUUCCAUAUUGGCUAUCAUAAUAGUCUCUUAAUUUCCUUUUUACCAUAUUUGACACUAGCAACGGUAUUACUGGUUGAUUUACCUGUGUUUGUUGACUGUCUCACCAUAGAGUUUAAACUCACUUGAGGAAAAGACCGUUUACUUUACAUAUCACUGCAUCCUUAGUGCAUUGUAUAGUGCCAUACAUAAGUUAGGAGCUAAAAAAUAUGUGUUAAAUGAAUGAAUAACACAUUUGCAGAGUUCAUGGGAAGACUCAAGCUUAUGUAAUUUUCUCGAAUGAGUACUUAGGAAACUCUCUGGGUCAUUAAUUGUGUUUGUAAUAAAUUCUUUUCUUCAUGAUGAUGAAGAUGUUAAUGUCAGCUGCCUUUGCAGCUGCUGGGUGGUAAGCUGAAGUGGGUUGACCAGAAGAAAUAAAAGGACAUGCUAAAGCAUCGUUUCAAACAAUAUCCUUUAAUCUCUGACUAUUGGGAAGACCAGCCAUGGAUAAACUAGUCUGUGUGCCAGGAUACCAAGGGAACUGGCAAACUCUGAGCAAAGUCAGCUUUUGAAGAAAGAAAGUCAUGGAUAAUAACAGAUAUUGCAAACCAUUGUCACAAUUGCUAUUGAGAGGAUGGGCCUGAUGUGGAUAUAGAGUACAAAGUUCUGUUCUCCUCUCACAGGUUUCCAACUAAGGUUUCCAACUAGUCUUUCCGACUAGUCUUGGGAGACAGCCCUGUCAACACCAUUAACUUCCAAAGGGAGAGAUCAUGACGUCAGACUUACUCAUUUCUAUCUAUUUUUUACACAGCUGUAGUUUAUCCAAAAAUACAUAGAGAGACAUUUAUUGCAAUUAUUAUUAAUACCUUUCCCCCAAUACUUUAACAUUUAUUUUAUAUAAGUAGAAAAUCCAUACCAUGUCAAUAAAACUUUUUUCACAUGUCUUAUGUUACAUGGUAAGUCACAGUUUAUUAUUUGUUGGAAUGUUCAUCUUGAGCAUUAGGACACAUGCAUAUUUCUUGCUGUUUGCAAUUUUAAACAGAACAAAACCUAAAUUAAAAAAAAUUUAGAAAAAAAUUAAAAAAAAAUUAACACAUGCUUGUAAAACCCACCCUACACUUUUGUAACCAAGUGAGUACCAAUAAUCUUAUGAACAUGCAUACACAAAGAAAAGAAUAAGAGAAAGAAAGACACUUGGCUUAGCAUUUCUUGUUUCAUUUUGCCCUGACUUGAUUCUUUCCCUGGCCCACAACUAGGACUGGAAAGUAGUGGCUUCUUAUAGCUGAGGUUAAGUUUAUAGCUUUUAUUUCCUGCUUCAACCAUAAGCAAGAUAUACAAAGGGUAUGUUUGGGAGGACUUGUUUUUUAAUGUCUUGUUUUUAGCCCAAUGUUUCAGUACUCUGGGGUUAUGGAGGAGUCUGGGCAAUCCCUAGUGCAUUGUACAGUGCACUAGAAAACAGCUCAGUGCAGAGAAACUUUGAUGGUGAGGUUACACGUGCAUGAAGUUAUUUUCAUGGAGUAGGAGGCAAAUUCUCAAGAUAAUCUAGUUUGUGAGAUACAGGUAUUUUUAGGAUAUUUUCAUAGCCAGCUUCAUACCAUAAUUAGUCCCAGAGUCGGAGUAUACUGGAAACCUCUAAGCUAUGGGCAAAGAUUGAGUUAGGUGUGAAGGUAAGCUGGGCUUACCUUGCUCUCUACUGUGUAGUUAAAAACAAAAAGGGGGCACAGAGAGAGUACUUGUUCUCUCCCUUUCUUCACCCACUGAAUUUUCAUUUCCCCUUCCACUACCCCAGAGGCCUAAUAAUGGACUCCAACAUCCCGUAUUCAACAGAGCUUUAAAAAUCCACACGGAGUCCAAAACUAGUAGGAAUUGGGGUUUGCUUUCUUUCGGGUUUAAUGGGACUUUCUAGGUUCAGGGUCCUUUGUCCUUAAACCGCAGGAUCAGGAAGGUGAAUUCCCCUGGGGGAGAGUGGCUCUGUGAGUUGAUUAGCACCAUUUGGCUGCUUCCUUGGUCUCUUCUGCUCAGGUAUUAGUUGUUCAGACAGCUGCGCGUCUGCCCUGCUCCCCAAGUCCCUCGUUUCAUUUUAAUGUGAGCCAGUGAGGCAAAGUCCCCAGCCUGGCCUGUCAAAACUUGAUAGCUCUGUAAACAUGGAAAUCUUUGUUGCCAUAACACCAGGAAAAAUAAUAUGGGAUCCUGCAUAUAAAUAUAGUGGAGGCCUUGGGAAAUGGGAGCAUUUCUAAACGACUUGAAGCUCUGUCAUGGCAUAAUCUCUUAUAAAUAAAUGUCAACGUGGUGGCUGAAUGCAGACUGGAUUUUUGCCUGCCUAUGGUGCUCAGCCUUCUAGACAACAGUUAUGCUAAGGGAUUAUCUUUUAACAUAGUGCAGUUAUCUCCUUUGUUUGUUUUCUUUUUUCAUUAUUCACAUAAGCCAAGGGAAAUGAAAAGCAUCUUAUUUCAGGCAAAAGGGCCUGUGAAUGAUUAACUCUGGUUCCAUGCAUUGGGACUUCGCAUAGCAACCCCUUGGCUUACAACUAGAGAAAGACUCAAGGCAGCAAGAGCAGCCCAGGGACUGGAGACGAACAUGCUCAAAAGGAGGUGGUGAGGAACAGAUUGAGUCGAAGCAUUGUGUGUAGGAGUAGAAUUCUCUGUAGCUGGCUUAUUUAAUUUUGCAUUGGUUUUAUUGCACUUUUCUUGGUGGAGGUGUGUUUUGCUGACCUUUACUUCACAUUUACUCUUGCAUUUGGAGUACACUUGAGGAUACAAGUGAAACUUGGCCCUGAUUAGGGCUUAAUCUGGUUUAGGCCACCAUAUUGUAUGUUUUCUCCCCAACACGAUCCAAAACUAGACUAACACUGGCUAAAUUUUACAGUAAGAUGUGGAAUUAAUGUCAUGGCCUUAAGUUUUAAUUUUAGCUCAACGAAAUUUUAGUUGGUAAAUUUUGGCACUCUUGUGAUGAUCUAUAGUACAAAGCAUUACACGAACGGAAGAGAAGCAAAUGGUGUGAUUAUAUGGUUUCAAUUAGGAGGAUAUGAGUCUGUAAAGAACCCAGACUGUGCAAUAUGAAGGAUGAAAUCAAGACCAAUUCUGUAUCUUUUAUGGACAUUGGGUGCUUAAACAUUUAUAUAACAGGGUCCAUUUUCAUGGAAAAACAAAACCUGCGUUAAAAGACUCAGAAGAAAAUGAAAUGUAGGCUAAAGACAGAAGAAACAUUGGAGAAUUUUGGAAAAUGCAUAUAGUUAUAAUGGAGCCAAAAUAUUUAGGACACUUAAAUUUAGACUGCAAGUCAAUCCAGAUGUUUAUUUAUUAACAUUAAUAAUGUUUCCAGUCUUGUUAUAGAAUACCAAAUCCCGGGGGGUUCCACUUCUGAGUUUAAAGACAAAUGCAUGGUCUUUAUUCUUUUCCAGUUCUGUUUUAAUUUUAGGAGUUUUCUAUAGCCAUGAUUUUCUUGUAAAAUUGUUUGCAAAAUCUUGAGUAGCUCCUGAUGCCUAGCAGAAAGUCCGAGUGAAACAUUGGGUCUAGCAAAGCUUUCCCCCUUCUGCAUUUCUCUUCUUGCUUCCAUGGCAAUAAAGAAAGAAACUUGGCAUAAGAAUAUAAUCCGUUCCUGCCUGUUUCUCAUCUGAAGUCGUAAACCUCUGCCAUCCCACCCAAGACUAGAAUUUCAGCUGGCAUGAAACAGCUGUCUGCUUACAGGUUUAUUCCGGUAGUAACCAAAGACAAAACUAUUUUAAUUGAAGGCCCUAGGCUGUUCUCCAAACCCUCACAAACUUUGGGUCGUUCCCAAGAGGAAACCAUUGAGGAAAAGGUACACAUUACACCCUUUCUUAUAGUUUUGACACACUGUAUGUUUAUGAAGUUGAGAACAUUUUACCUUCUAAUUUUUCUGGAUAGGAUGCCUUAGAGUAAUGGAAGAGGUCACAAAUUCAAAAGCCUAAGGGCUCAGGCACACCAGCUUUGUUAGUGGAGAGUAGACUGUGGUGUAUGGGAAAGGGAGUGUCUUGUCUCAAGGGGCAUCUGCUGCUCAGCUUCCCUCACAGUUAUCAUGUGGUGGUGUGGAAACCUGGGGUGGCCAGAUAUGCUGGUUUUUCAGUAGGAGUUCCUGAUCCCGAUUUUAUGUGAAUUCUGUAUAAUCUUAAAUGUUGGCAAUUAAUUUGAAGGCAAGCCAAACUUUGUGAAGGUCAAUCAAAACAUGGCUCUUAAGUGUUUGGGCCUGCCGGUAUCCCCCAGGCUUUGCUCCUGAUUCACUGCAGGUAGACUUUGCAUAUUUCAGCUUUGUAGGUUCUAAAACUGUCAGGUGAUAUAAUUUAUUUACACAUUUCACUUUUUAUUCUAGGUAGUGCAGCAUAAAGAAGAGAACUCAAGUUUCAGAGUCAGGAAGACGUACUUUUACUAGUUCCAGAUUUUUAACAAAUUGUAACCUGUACCACCUUAAUCUCUUGAAGCCUCUCUUACAACAUGUGGAAAUGAAAACCUAGUUUACAGGGCCUUUGGAGGAUUAAAUAUAUUGCUCUCCAUAUAAAACAUGCUUUGCCUGGCCCAUAGGUGCUCUUCACAUGGGUCAUGUGAUCACUACCAGCAGGUGAUCCACUUUGGAAGACACAAGGCCUCCAUCCAAAUGGGUUUCUCUCAGAAUAGGGAGAAGGUUUUCUCUGAAGGUCUAAUAUGGUAUGCAAUACAAAUAAAUUGUAUCCCGAGAAUCACCUCGAAGUCCUUAAGGAAUCUGAGAAUUUUAGAAACAGAAAAGGCCUUGAGGAGACAGAAACUUCAACAGCUAAAGAUGAAUGGAAUCACCAGUUUUAUUGUACAUAUUAAUAUCUGAAACCAUGGCAAAUGAAUUCUUUCCCUGAAAUGCAGGAUGACAUGUAAAGAACAUGACUUGUUAUAAAAAUAAAACCAAAGACCGUAUCCAGAACAAUGUUGUAAAGUGAAAGAAUGUAGGUUAAUUUUUUUCCUCUUAAUUUCUGUGGGAUUAUUUACUUGGCAACGAAUUGAUGAAUGUUACUAGACUAUUCCCUUAUUUUGUAUCUGGGUAGGUCUGCUGUUAGGGAGAUUUCUUCUCCCUUAGCUUUCAGUCCAUGAUCUCUGCAUGAUGGUGGCAAGGGGCUACACAACCAAUUGGGGUGCAUAAAUUUGUGUUUGAGAAUAUAACUGAUAUAUUCUCCUUGCUUUCUCUUCAAAAUUAGGUGCAAGUUAAAGCUUCAACAUUCAAAGGAAGAAGCCUCCUUCCUUCCCUUUCUUGGAAUAGCUGCAAGAGGCUAGAGAUGUUGGCAUCCGAGUUAUGAAGAAACGUGAAGGUUUUGGAGAAGAUGAAAAUUCGAGAGAGAAGAAGGGACAGAGAAGAGAAGGGGGAGCUCCAGUAUGAACUAAUGCAAAGUGAAUAUACCUCUAUUGAAAAGUAGAGGAAAGAAGGUCUGAGGGAACUAUAAAUGAACCAUAAAUGUGGGAUGCUCUGAAACUGCUGAGGGCAUAUGACUGGAGAAGGACAAUUACGACCUAAUGCUGAGAAGUGACCUUAAGCUCAACGUAGGAAAGAACUCAACAAUUCCGAGAGACCUGUGGUGGGAAGUGAAAAUAGAAGAAACCAGUGAAGAUACUGACCACCAGCAUCAGGGCUAGGAGGGUUGCCUGUGACAAAAAAUGGCAUAAGCACUGAGAGGGCUUAGACAAGAUUCUGUCAAACCAAAGACCAUACAUAGGACAAUAUGCUUGUCACUUCACUCUUGAAGAUAUAAUUUAUAUCCUAACAAUCUCUUUUAUUGUAGUAAAAGUAAUUGGACACUUGAAAGGACUGUGUGGGCUAGAUCCCCUAGACAUGCUGGGUGUGGUGAAUGGCCAGAGUUGAAGGAAAGAGCAAAGUUCAGAGACACGUCUUUGGAGAAGAAAGCUACCCCCCUUAAAAAAAUCAUCUGGUGGCUGCUGGAGUAUCUGGGAACCUGACCAAGAAAACCAUGGAUCAGAGCAGAUUCAAGAAAAAGUAAUCUGCCCAGUAGGAGUUUGUAGAAGCCAUCAGUAAAAACAAAUGCUAUCUGCUAAGGAUAUCUAUACUUUGGAUUUGGUCAUUAGUUGACCAGGUGGCUAAUGUUUCCUCAUCUUCUCAAAAGGUAGGAGAAGAUUUUAAAAAUUUAUUUGAGAGAGGAGAGUCUUGGAG